Molecule: ribosomal RNA, 447 nt
Filed under: uncultured bacterium
Lineage: Bacteria
Description: bacterial SSU rRNA
Rfam family: Bacterial small subunit ribosomal RNA
Source: RNAcentral
AUGAACGCUGGCGACGUGGAUAAGGCAUGCAAGUCAAGGGGCUCGCAAGAGCACCGGCAGACGAGGUAGUAAUACGUAGGUACAACCCUUCAAGAUUGGUAUAGCUCGUCGAAAGACGGGGUAAUCCCAAAUAGUCCCUUCGGGGUAAAGGAGUAAUCCGCUUGAAGAUUGGCCUGCGGGGUAUCAGCUAGUUGGUAAGGUAAAAGCUUACCAAGGCUAUGACGCCUAGGGGAGGUGAGAGCCUGACCCCCACCGAUGGUACUGAGACACGGACCAUACACCUACGGGUGGCUGCAGUCGAGAAUCUUCCGCAAUGGGCGAAAGCCUGACGGAGCGACGUCGCGUGAUUGAUGAAGUCCCUCUGGGACGUAAAGAUCUUUUAUAGGGGAGAACGUGGCAUUUAUGCCACACGAUAGUACCUUAUGAAUAAGGGGUUGCUAAACUCGU